RNAcentral lists this ribosomal RNA (497 nucleotides) under uncultured bacterium. RNAcentral describes it as "partial 16S ribosomal RNA". It matches the Rfam family "Bacterial small subunit ribosomal RNA", at positions 28 to 507 of the family's 1533-position model. The record is from RNAcentral.
GAUGAACGCUGGCGGCGUGCUUAAUACAUGCAAGUCGAACGGACGGACGAUGCGCUUGCUGCUUGGACGUGAGCCGAGCGCGUGUGUAUCACGUGAGUAUACCGUCCCUGUCAGACGGGUAACUUCUGGGGAAACGGGCUCUUAUAGCAGAUAAUAUUCUGCAGCGCAUGGGUCAAUAGAGAGAGUCGGUCGUGCGGGAUGUUAUAGCUGCAUACGCGCUGCAUUAGCUAGUUGGGAAGGUAACGGGUUACCAAGGCAACGAGGCAUAGCCGAACUGAGAGGGUGAUCGGCCACACUGGAAGGUAGACACGGUCCAGACGCCUACGGGAGGCAGCAGUAGGGAAUCUUCCGCAAUGGGCGAAAGCCUGACGGAGCAACGCCGCGUGAGUGAUGAAGGUCUUCGGAUCGUAAAGCUCUGUUAUUAGGGAAGAACAUAUGUGUAAGUAACUGUGCACAUCUUGACGGUACCUAAUCAGAAAGCCACGGCUAACUACGUG